GACGAACGCUGGCGGCGCGCUUAACACAUGCAAGUCGAACGGAAAGGCCUGCUUUCCCUUGUGGAUUGCGGGUACUCGAGUGGCGAACGGGUGAGUAACACGUGAGUGAUCUGCCCCCAACUUGGGUAUAAGCCUGGGAAACUGGGUCUAAUUCCCGAUAGGACUGCAGGGUGGUGCCUGUGGUGGAAAACGAUUUUCUAGUGGUUGGGGAUGAGCUCGCGGCCUAUCAGCUUGUUGGUGGGGUAAUGGCCUACCAAGGCGGCGACGGGUAGCCGGCCAGGGAGGGUGGACGGCCACGUUGGGACUGAGAUACGGCCCAGGAUCCUACGGGAGGCAGCAGUGGGGAAUAUUGCACAAUGGGCGGAAGCCUGAUGCAGGGACGCCGCGUGGGGGAUGACGGCCUUCGGGUUGUAAACUCCUUUCGACCGCGAGGAAGCCACCUGGUUGGAAGGGUGGUGACGGUAGUGGUAGAAGAAGCACCGGCUAACUACGUG
This 494-nucleotide ribosomal RNA is filed under the name uncultured bacterium. RNAcentral describes it as "partial 16S ribosomal RNA". It matches the Rfam family "Bacterial small subunit ribosomal RNA", at positions 28 to 507 of the family's 1533-position model. The record is from RNAcentral.